Chiloscyllium plagiosum (whitespotted bambooshark) is the source of this 3036-nucleotide non-coding RNA. The record is from RefSeq and is a predicted model, not a curated record. NCBI's taxonomy places the organism in Eukaryota, Metazoa, Chordata, Chondrichthyes, Orectolobiformes, Hemiscylliidae.
CCCAUCAGCCAUGAUUAAAUGGCGGAGUGGACUCGAUGGGCCGAAUGGCCUUACUUCCACUCUUAUGUCUUAUGCAGUAUCACUGCAUAAUGAUGAGGUUGAAUUUCUCGGCAGAGAUCUUUUAAUUGUCCAUUGAGAAGUUGCGUGCAGCCUUGCUUCAUUACUGAUUGUACACUCCUGGCCAAAGUUUCUUGAUGAUUUAGUUGUGGAUGUUAUUGAAGCCUUGCUUCAAUUAACUUUGUUUUCUGGCAUUUGGCUUGCAUUUUAUCGACAGUGUUCUCAGGCAUUUCCUGGUUUCUAAAAGAUAACUUGUGUUUUGUUUCAGCUGCAUUUGCCUUCAUUGUUUUGAAAGAUACCUGCUCCAUUUCUGAACUGGUCAUUAAAGAUCUGAAAACAAAUGUUGCAUCUAAGAUUGCUAAAUAUGCUAUUCCUGAUCACAUUCUGGUUGUGAAGCGACUUCCCAAAACCCGAUCUGGGAAAAUCAUGAGGCGGGUGUUGAAGAAAAUAGCCACUGAUGAUACUUCUAAUCUGGGUGACCUCAGCACACUAGACGACCCUCAAAUCAUCUCAGAGAUCAUUGCAGCCUAUACAAAGUAUAAAAAAGACCACAUGACCAGAAAAUAAACAAGCAGUCAGCGUUCCUUAAAUCAUCCCAAAGUUUUGACACUCAUAGAACCAACUGGUUGUAUAUUCUUAAAACGAUACUUUUUCUGUAUUGCACUUAAAAAAACCGAACAAUGCUGACUUUAAUUAACAUUAAUUCUGAAUUGGUGCUAAAAGAAGAAAUGAUUCCUCCUUGUCCCUAAUUUCCCCCUUGACCCUUCUCAUGGAGACAAUCACAAUUACAUUGGUCUAAGUGCCUGUAGUGUCCCAAAAUCUGAUCAACAGUAUUCAGUCCAUUUCUACAGUUGAGGUGGCUGAUCUGCCAAGUCUAUUUCUCACUCUGAAAUGGCUAUCUGUAUUAGCACAUUCCAUCAUAUGUUGUUACGAGAAAAUGAUUGGGAAGCCUGACUGAUGUUAAAAAAUUCCCCUCAUAACACAUGGUAUUAUUCUACUGUGAGGCUUGUGUCAUUCUCCUGCUAAAGGACUGAUAGGGAAUCAGAAUUGAGAUUUACUUGUCCUUGUCUACUUUACUGUCAAAUAUGGCAUAAAUUGUUAAAAAAAUGAAUUGAAUUAAUUCAUAGAAUCAGUGUGAAUAAACUUCUGACUUGCUUUUAAAAUGAAAGUAAACAGACUUUAGACAUAUACAACAAAGAAUAACCGCAAUAGCAGAGAUUUUUUUGUAUUUGUGCUCUUUUAUGCUUGAAGUUUUCUGCUUAUUAUAGGCUGGCAAAUGCAGAACUGGCCAAUAUGAAACAAUAUGUAUUUGACCAAGGUUUGUUUGAACAAGUGUCUUGAUCAUCCAGGACAUCUAGAACUCUGUUGUUUGUGUCUAAACACGCAGAAAGUCCCAUAAUUCAUUUACCAUCUCUGUACUUGCUGACCUACACUAACUGUCUUAAUUGUAAAAUUUCAAUCCUGGUUUUCAAAUUCCAUCCUGAUACUGCUCCUCCCUAUCUCAGUAAUCUCCCGCAGCUCCAAAACUCUGAGAUAUAUUUAUUCAGGGCAUUCUCAGGAUUAUUCGGGUCUGAUUUUCCCCCAUUUCUUGCUGCCUGGACUUAACAGCAGAACCACAACACAGCAGAUUGCAAUACGAUGUAAAUACAUGCAUGUUCUAACCCAGUUAAACCAGGCGAUGAAAACAGCAAAAUAAAACAAAGAACUGCACAUGCCGAAAAUCUGAAACAAAAAUCAAAAAUGCUGGAGAAACUCAGCAGGUCUGGCAGCAUCUGUGGACAGAAAACAGAGUUAAUGUUCUUUAGAACAGAACAUGGAAUAGCAGUUUCUGAUGUGUAGGGAAAAUUAUUCACUAGAAGACAAAUGUUUUUGAACACAGCCCCCCAAAUGCAUAUGUUUAGUGAGAGCUUUAUUUCAGUCAACCAUUUGCCAUUAAAUCCACAGUAGACAUACAAGAGGCUGGAAGAGCACAGCAAACCAAGCAACAUCAGGAGGUGGAGAAUUCAACAUUUCAGGUAUAACCCUUCUUCAGGACUAAAUGUGCGGGGAAGAGGGAGCUACAGCCAAAAACAAGCUCCCCUUGUUCACACAACCAACUGACACCCAAUUAAAUCUUAAUUAGUAAUUAAGAGUUAAUUAAUCUGUUCCCUCAUUCAAUUGCAUCUUUGGUAUCCUUCAAAACACAUAAGGCUAAAAUUAUAUUUUUCUUCUUAAAUAAAUCUAUAUAAUUUUUAAAAGACCUAACAAAAUAUACAAAAAGACAGCAUAUUACAUUCUCUUCUGUUUCUCUGUGCAUUAAAAGCUCCAUUGUCCUUUUCCAGCAUGUUAAAUAGUUUCUUAGUGCCUUUCUUUGUAAAACAAUCGAUCGGAUAGCUGAUUGCUGCUAUCCACCCAUUUCAAUUUAGAAAUUUCUCCAUUCUCCAGCAUGUUUUAAAACUGCAAUAUUGAUCUUUAGACAUUUUUCAUUUACACAUUUCAUUGAAUGUACAUUAUCCCAGUGACUUAUCAAUGUAGCUCUCAGUGGUAUUGCUAUUCAUUUACUUGAAUUUUUUCAAUAUUGUUGAAAAUAAAACUGUCAUCUUUCAGCUCAUCAAGAGCAAGAGUUCCUGCCACUAAAAGUACAUGUACACUUUACUACUCUUUUGAACUUUUUAGCUUCCCCAGCUAAAGGACAACAUUUAUCUCAAUUUUCUAUGAGAAAAUUAUAAAGCCUUCUGCACUUGAGAACCCAUCUCUGAGAGUUUCAUAACAAACAUCACUACAAAUAAGUGUCAUGUUCCUGGCUUCUCCCAAUGAUACAAAUUUCGAAACACAAUUAUCCAUUUUUAAUUUUUUUUCAAUGUUUUGUUUGCCUGAAUAAUAUGUUCCAUCUUGCGAUUUCUUAAGUUGUACUUAACACUAAUACUUCAAAACUGGCAGCUGGUCUUGUUUGGUUGCCCAGUCAAUUUAGCUGUUAAAAUAAACUUCACAAUUCCUUUA